GACGAACGCUGGCGGCGUGCCUAAUACAUGCAAGUUGAGCGCUGAAGGUUGGUACUUGUACCGACUGGAUGAGCAGCGAACGGGUGAGUAACGCGUGGGGAAUCUGCCUUUGAGCGGGGGACAACAUUUGGAAACGAAUGCUAAUACCGCAUAAAAACUUUAAACACAAGUUUUAAGUUUGAAAGAUGCAAUUGCAUCACUCAAAGAUGAUCCCGCGUUGUAUUAGCUAGUUGGUGAGGUAAAGGCUCACCAAGGCGAUGAUACAUAGCCGACCUGAGAGGGUGAUAGGCCACAUUGGGACUGAGACCAGGCCCAAACUCCUACGGGAGGCAGCAGUAGGGAAUCUUCGGCAAUGGACGAAAGUCUGACCGAGCAAAGCCGCGUGAGUGAAGAAGGUUUUCGGAUCGUAAAACUCUGUUGGUAGAGAAGAAAGUUGGUGAGAGUGGAAAGCUCAUCAAGUGACGGUAACUACCCAGAAAGGGACGGCUAACUACGUG
RNAcentral lists this ribosomal RNA (497 nucleotides) under uncultured bacterium. Its description in RNAcentral is "partial 16S ribosomal RNA". It matches the Rfam family "Bacterial small subunit ribosomal RNA", at positions 28 to 507 of the family's 1533-position model. The record is from RNAcentral.